AUCCCUCCCAGCCCCAAACACACGGAGGUGGCCCCAAACCUACCCCAUUCACCGAGACGAGCGAGUUCUGAGGAGAACCAGGAGCAGAGCAAAGUUGAGGGGGAAUAUCCUGAUUAGAGGGAUGUCCCACAAUAUGACAGGAAUACCCUUUUGUCCCUUACUUUUCACCCCCAGCCCCUGACACUGGGCUAUCAAUGUCAUACCUUGGAGGGUCACAGGCUCAUCCAAUUUAAGCCCAGCUUAGCUCUGCUGCCAUCAGCUUUACACCAGGGGAAGAUCUGGCAUCGUGCUCUGUCACCCCAUCCCUGCUGCUGGAUUCUUGGCAUGGAGAGGAGAGUUGGGGUGCUCCACAAACCCCACACCCAGUUCCUCUGGAAGCUGAGGUUCCACACGCACCCUGUGUCCAGCAGCUUUUUCCUCCCAUCUCCCAGACAAUGCCCCUCCUCAGGGCAUUUAGGAUUGGUGUGUGCAGAGGAAAAACAGCCCAGAAAAGAGAUGGAUCACUCGUGAAAAGCUGCUUAGUCCCUAAAUAAAAGAGGAGAGUGAUUAAA
Long non-coding RNA from Vidua macroura (Pin-tailed whydah), 551 nucleotides. RefSeq lists it as uncharacterized. NCBI's taxonomy places the organism in Eukaryota, Metazoa, Chordata, Aves, Passeriformes, Viduidae. The record is from RefSeq and is a predicted model, not a curated record. The transcript is spliced from 2 exons.